Molecule: long non-coding RNA, 3837 nt
Filed under: Panax ginseng (ginseng)
Lineage: Eukaryota; Viridiplantae; Streptophyta; Magnoliopsida; Apiales; Araliaceae
Description: long non-coding RNA (PGIN_LNC002920)
Source: RNAcentral
UUGAAGCGAGAUAUAAGCUUUCUGCAAUUGAUUGUCCUCUGCAACCCAACGACGUCUCCAAACUACGAUACGAAAAUGGAGCUCAAAUCCACGAUUCGUAAUAGUUAGGUUUAGAUCUGUAUUGGGAGAGGUUACUGUGACAUCGUAUUCGGUGCUCACUAUACAACAUACACAUCUCAUCUAACUACUCAUUCAUUAUGAAUUACAUUAUUCCUUACAUACCUUAAUACAAAAAUAUAACAUUAUCCCAUGUUUCACUAACCUUAACAUUACAUGACUUAAUAAUACAAAAAGUUUUUAUCAUUGUAUAUCAUAACAUUAUUACAUAAAAGACACUAUUUGGUCGCCUUCUCUUUGCCUUUGUCCUUCUUCGAACAUUCGAGCUUAACUGAAAUAUUAUCAUGAUAUAGCAAGGGUGAGCAACUAUUUCUCUCAGCAAGUUUAAAUACAAAAACGAUAUAUCAUGAUUAGAAGAGUUUUAACUCUUUAGAACUUCAACAAUAUUAAAAAAUUGUGAGGUAGCUGAAACAAUGAAUCAUUUCCAAAUUAAGGAUUUUUUAAAAUUUUAUACUGAAUAACAUAUCAAGAAUGAAAGAGUUAAAUUCUUUCGAAGUUUCAACAAUAUCAAGUUGAUUAUGAAGAAUUAGCAAUACUGCAACAAUAUUAAAUAAAUAGGGUUAUUCCCCAGAUUUCAUGUUGAGUGAUCACAAAUGGAUCUAGAACUUCUCGAGAGAUUAUCAGUUCAUUUACUGAUUGAAUCUCUCAAAAGUAUAAGGUAACCAUAAAGAUUAGAUCAUACUUCUCUGCAAGUACAUAAGGGGAUCAACCUUAUUGUACUCGAUAUUAUGCAUAAUACUCACAUGUGUCUCCCUUGUACAUCAGUCCCUUGUACUUGAUAUUAUGCAUAAUACUCACAUGUGUCGUUCACAUGUGCAAGUACAUCAGUUAAUUUCUGCGUGUCGUUUUCUGACAAUAAAGUUCCCCUUGUUUUUAUAAGGGUUGUUCAUCUUAGUCUCACAUCAUGAGUUCGUACCACAAUAAUAUGGUUUGGAUUGAUUUUAAAGAAAUGCUAUGAUUUCAACAUAUAAUAUCAAUAUUGAUGUAGUCGAAAUGAAUGAUAUAAUCUUUCAAUAAAUCAGUUCACAAGUAAUAGAACGCUUCAUCAAAUAUUAGUCUAGCCGAAACAAAUGACAUCAAUCUUUAAUAACAAAUUGGUUCACAAAUAAUAGAACGCCUUAUCAAAUAUUAGUCUAGCCGAAACAAAUGGCAUCGAUCUUCAAUAACAAAUUGGUUCACAAAUAAUAGAACGCUUCAUCAAAUAUUAGUUUAGCCGAAACAAAUGGCAUCGACGUAGUACUUAAAUAAUUCAGGUAUAAUUGAUUUUUAAAGAUAGCUUGAACACUUGUACAAAUAUAAAAGAUUCGUAUAAGUUUUAAGAUUUAAUCAAUCGUAUAAACGUCAAAUAAAUUUAGAAUUUUCAAACUUCGUGGAAUAGUCAUAAGAACAAGGCUAAAUGAACAUAUGAACUUGAACACAAUAAUCAAUUGUACAAGGUUAGGCAAUCAAAGUAAAUUAAGGAACUCGCAUAUCAUAAGGUAUAUACAAGAGAAAUAAAGUUGCACAAGGUAAUACUUUGUACAGGAUAAUAUAUAAGAAAGUUCAAUAAACUUGUACUAGGUGCGAAUAUCAAUAAUCAUAUAUGUGGAAUAAUUGUCAAUAAUUAAUCCACUAGCAUACUUGAAACAUAAUAACUCAAGUUUGAGUUAGAGAACUUGCAAUAAAUGUGAAUAUUCAAUAAUAAUCAUUGGAUGUGGAAUAUUCAAUAAUAAUUAUUGACUAACAUGCUUUGAAAAUAAAUACUCAAGUUUGAGUUAGGGAAACUUGCCUCGGUUGAUGACUACUGCUAGGCAAUUUAAUAUAACUUCUUAUGAAAGACCUAUCAUUAAUAAGAUCGAUCUCUCAAUUAGCAUCACAUAUCUUACUCAUAAUAGCAUUAUUCUAUAAUAUUUUAUCUAACAUUUGAUAUUACCAUAAAUCAUUAGUAAUAUUAUCAUCCUUUGAUAAUAUUCUAUCAUAUUACCAUCAUCUUAAACUCCUAUUUAAUAUCAAAUAAUAUUUCAUCACUUCUUAACAUUAUUAAUCACUUAAUAAUAUUUUUUUCCCUUUUCAAUAUUAUUAACGACUUGAUAAUAUUUUAUUCAUUCACAAGUAUUAUUAAUCAUUUAAUAAUAUUUUAAUUUUAAUCCUUAACUAAUAUUAUUAAUCAUUUAAUAAUAUUUUAAUCUAAUAUUAUUAAUCAUUUAAUAAUAUUUUAAUUUAACUUUAAUCUAAUAUUAUUAAUCAUUUAAUAAUAUUUUAAAUCAUUAUAUAAUAUUAUUAAUCAUUUAAUAAUAUUUUAAUAUAACUUUAAUCUAAUAUUAUUAAUCAUUUAAUAAUAUUUUAAAUCAUUAUCUAAUAUUAUUAAUCAAAUAAUAUUUUAAUUUAACUUUAAUCUAAUAUUAUUAAUCAUUUAAUAAUAUCUUAAUCUAAUAUUAUUAACUCUUAAUAAUAUUUUAAUCAUUUAUUAAACUAAUAAACAAUUUAUUCUAAUUGUUUACUCUUUACUAAUUUAUUUUUUUAAUAAUCAUAAAAUGCAAUACACAACAUUUUAUCAAAAAUGACCAAAAUACCCUCAAAAUCUGGACACAUCAUUUUAAGGGUCUUUAAGUCAUAAAAUCACAUUUUCACUAUUUUUAACAUUACAUAACUUAUUUUAUCCAUUUAUUCAUAACUCAAUCAUUUACAUGAAAAAUACCAAAACAACUUCAAAAAAUUUUCUUUUCGGGGAAAUAUCAGAGUAUGAUAGUCUAAUGAACAUAUAUUUUUUUCUGGAAUUUUCCAAUUUCAUUUACUACUUUUAAAUUGCCCAAAACAGUCGGAUCUUACAAUAUUUUUCAUAAAUCGAAAUUUUGUCCAAAAAUUAUGAAAUUUUUAGGGUAUGCUCCUAUUAUAUGCAUCUACUCACAGUCAAAAUUUUACAAUUUUUUGAGUUAACCAUAGAGUUAUUUUCGUUUACUUUUAAAAUAAUCCUUUCUUGUAAAAUUCAUAACUUUCAUUCUACACAUCCAAAAAUCAACACCUUUUUACUGGACUCGGUUAACUCAUCAUAUUAUUAUACCAAAUUUUUCUAGAAUUUUUAGAACAAAUUAAACGGACGAAACUGCCCUUGCAAGAAAUUGGCCAGGAACAACCAUUUUCCUUUUUCUUCACAAGCUGAACUGUUCUGACCAAAACAGCCACCAUGGCUUGAAAAAUCAAUAUUUUUGAGUGCUUCCACUUGGGUUUAAAAACCAACUUACAUAUCUAUCACCCCUCUUUGACGGAUCGCAAAAAGGUGUAGAUCUUAAAUGGUAGACUUUCAAAGUAAUAAAAAGUUAGGGUUUUCUAAGCUUGAAAAACAAAAUUUUAUUUUCUUUCUUUUGAUCAAACUUUACACCAAAAAUGGUUAGAUCUAAACAUAAAAUACUCAUUACCAUGUGGAUCAAGAGUUUUAGAGUUUAUGAACAUAACUUGUUGAUUUCAUCAAAACAAAUUAAAUAAAAGGAAUAAACUAAUUUAUUGAUAGGUUUUUAUACCUUUGAUAAAUGUGGAUGAUUUCCUUCUUCCUUCCAAGAGUUAUGAGCUUAAAAAAAAUCAAACUCUCCUCUCUUAUCUCCCCCUAAGUGGCUGCCGAAAUCCUCUUGGAUUCUCUCUCUUUAUUUUCUUUCUUUAGCUUGCUUUUUGGUGGAGAUGAAAGAGAAAUGAAGAUACUUUUUAAUAACUAAUGAGAUGGGGGUUUUAUAAAAGCUAGCAAAUAUG